GCAGUCCAGGAAUAUUAGUCAAUGCUCGCAAGAGUGAACUAGCUAACUGAAAUUAUAAUUACUCGGGGGACCGGGAGAAAAUGUAAUAACGUAAUGGGCUGUGAAAAGUUUUAGAAUAAAGGAAAUAAAAACUCCUUUAAACCUAAAAAUGAUGAAAUUCCCUAAAUUGUAUAAAUUAAUAAGGAAAAAGUAAAAAAAAAGUAGCAGGACAAAAAAUUGAUAUCACCAUUACUAUUAGUGCUGUCCAAAGCUGGUGCCAGAAGACUCGGUAAGGCCAGAAGCGCGCACGUUAGUCACAUUAAACAGGCGUAAAGGGUGUGUAGGCGGCUUUUCAAAACCAAUCUUUUAAGUUAACUACUUUAUAAUAUUAAUAAAUAUUAUACUGCAUAAAAAAAGAAAGGUGACUAAAAGCUAGAAUCUAAUCGAGGUUAAACAAAAUAAUACUUAGUGGAGGGAUUAAAUCUGUAGAUAUUAAGGGGAAUACUAAUAGGUGUAAGCUUUUUUCCAUUAAUGAUUGACGCUGAGACACGAAGGCGGGAAAAGGAAAUAGGAUUAGAUACCCAAAGUACCUCUCGCAGUCAACGAUGUAUGGUUUUCUAGGUAGUUCUAAGAACUGCUAUUGACGCUAACGCUCUAACCAUACCGCCUUGCGAGUACGGUUGCAAAACUGAAACCAAAAAAAUUAGUCGGCCUCGGAGCAAACGAAGUGAAGCAUGUUAUUUA
Molecule: ribosomal RNA, 723 nt
Filed under: Mycena longiseta
Lineage: Eukaryota; Fungi; Basidiomycota; Agaricomycetes; Agaricales; Mycenaceae
Description: partial small subunit ribosomal RNA
Rfam family: Bacterial small subunit ribosomal RNA
Source: RNAcentral